CCUACGGGAGGCAGCAGUGGGGAAUCUUGCGCAAUGGGCGAAAGCCUGACGCAGCAACGCCGCGUGCGGGAAGAAGGCUUUCGGGCUGUAAACCGCUUUCAGCAGGAACGAAAAUGACGGUACCUGCAGAAGAAGGAGCGGCCAACUAUGUGCCAGCAGCCGCGGUGAUACAUAGGCUUCAAGCGUUGUCCGGAUUUAUUGGGCGUAAAGAGUUCGUAGGCGGUCGAGUAAGUCGGGUGUGAAAAUUCUGGGCUCAACCCAGAGACGCCACCCGAUACUGCUUGACUUGAGUUCGAUAGGGGAGUGGGGAAUUCCUAGUGUAGCGGUGAAAUGCGCAGAUAUUAGGAGGAACACCGGUGGCGAAGGCGCCACUCUGGAUCGAUACUGACGCUGAGGAACGAAAGCAUGGGUAGCAAACAGGAUUAGAUACCCUGGUAGUCCAUGCCGUAAACGGUGGGCACUAGGUGUGGGUUUCUAUUAACGAAAUCCGCGCCGUCGCUAACGCAUUAAGUGCCCCGCCUGGGGAGGUACGGUCGCAGACUAAACUACAAUAGAAGUAGACGGCGUGAGACGUGCCGACGGACGACGACGAGGGAGGUAGG
Molecule: ribosomal RNA, 602 nt
Filed under: uncultured bacterium
Lineage: Bacteria
Description: bacterial SSU rRNA
Rfam family: Bacterial small subunit ribosomal RNA
Source: RNAcentral